AGGACGAACGCUGGCGGCGUGCUUAACACAUGCAAGUCGAGCGGAAAGGCCCUUCGGGGUACUCGAGCGGCGAACGGGUGAGUAACACGUGAGCAACCUGCCCUUAGCUCUGGGAUAGCUCCGGGAAACCGGAAUUAAUACCGGAUAUUACAUCGGCUGACAUCGGCUGAUGUGGAAAGAUUUAUCGGCUAAGGAUGGACUCGCGGCCUAUCAGCUAGUUGGUGGGUAGAAGCCUACCAAGGCGACGACGGGUA
RNAcentral lists this ribosomal RNA (254 nucleotides) under uncultured bacterium. Its description in RNAcentral is "partial small subunit ribosomal RNA". It matches the Rfam family "Bacterial small subunit ribosomal RNA", at positions 26 to 285 of the family's 1533-position model. The record is from RNAcentral.